AACGAACGCUGGCGGCAGGCCUAACACAUGCAAGUCGAGCGCACCCUUCGGGGUGAGCGGCGGACGGGUGAGUAACGCGUGGGAACGUGCCCUUCUCUGCGGAAUAGCCUCGGGAAACUGAGAGUAAUACCGCAUACGCCCUUUGGGGGAAAGAUUUAUCGGAGAAGGAUCGGCCCGCGUUGGAUUAGGUAGUUGGUGGGGUAAUGGCCCACCAAGCCGACGAUCCAUAGCUGGUUUGAGAGGAUGAUCAGCCACACUGGGACUGAGACACGGCCCAGACUCACAGGGGAGGCAGGCGGGGAGACUAUGAGAGAAGGGCGGCAAGGGUGGGCUGGAGGGGCGGCGGGAGUAAGGAGGGCUUGCGGGUUGAGCAGAUCGGACAGCUGGGAAGAGAAGGACGGUACGGAAAGAAGAAGCCCCGCGUACCGCCGGGCCAGCGGCCGCGGCAAUAAUCGGAUGCGCAGACGUCUGAAC
This 474-nucleotide ribosomal RNA is filed under the name uncultured bacterium. Its description in RNAcentral is "partial 16S ribosomal RNA". The stretch from base 20 to 303 matches the Rfam family "Bacterial small subunit ribosomal RNA", at positions 47 to 358 of the family's 1533-position model. The record is from RNAcentral.